Paramuricea clavata is the source of this 224-nucleotide non-coding RNA. NCBI's taxonomy places the organism in Eukaryota, Metazoa, Cnidaria, Anthozoa, Malacalcyonacea, Plexauridae. The record is from the annotation of a GenBank genome assembly.
GUUAGGGAAGUAAAAUGAUGAGAGCACUGGAUGAGGGUCUAUCGUCUAUGGUCUGUUAUAAUUUGCUUUUUAUGCAAAUAGUGAGCAAAAAUUAAAGCAAAACUGUACAAGUUACAUAUAUUGUACUAUAUCAGUACUAUACACGAAUUUUUAUCGCUGGAUAAUUUUGCGAGUUUUCAUCCAAUUCAGUCAUAUAUAUGCUCAAAAUCCUCGCGGUAAGUGUC